CACUGUUACAGUAUGUCCAACGGUAGCUCUUUCUUUAGACAACCACUAUUACAGUAUGUCCAACGGUAGCUCUUUCUUUAGACAACCACUAUUACAGUAUGUCCAACGGUAGCUCUUUCUUUUGACUCCGUGAAGACUCAUGCAGCAUCUGCCACGUCCCUCUUGUCUACCCUCCCUCAUCCCCAGCUUCUGGGUCAGGCACAGAUCUGAACUCCCUCGUUCUUCUCGUGUUCUUCUCCAAACCCUCCCAGGAAAGAUGCUGGAGUGGCGGAGCUAGCAGGUCCCCAAGUCUGCUUGGAGAAGAGCUCCUCAGGACAGUUGCUCCACUAGAAACACCUGGACCAUUAGCAUCCUGACACCUAUUCUACAGCAAAGCAACAAAAGAAAUUUUAGGAAAAGAUAUUGGCAGAGUUUCGGGGAGAGGGAAAGAAAUCUAGUGAACAUCUGGUCCAACACCUGUCCACAUCGUCUGGUGUAAAAUGCUCAUACUCCAACAUCAUAUGAUGCAGAGAUGUCCUCAUCACAAGAGUCCCAGUCCAUUUCCAAAAGUACCAUUGAGUUCAUUUUUGUGUUGGCUAACUACUCCUGGACAUGGGGCCUACCAAGAAGCAUGCUAAAAUUCUAGGCAGAGAUUAUAGCAUGGAUAUAAAUAGACCGAGAGCAUCAUUAUAUGUAAUUUGGAAAGUGUUUCACUGGCAUACAUCUGCAAGCAGUUCAGGGACACUUUCAAGCUGUGUUUACAUGAUAUUAAACAUCUGGAUGAAAACUGAAAAAAAUAAUCAAUUUGGAUUGAAAACAAAACAGAAGUACAGAUUUCAGAGUUCUGGCCCCUGGGAUUCUGCAUGCAAAGCUGACUUCCACAGCCCGGGAAUGAGAUCAUGAGGCAAAAGAAGAGCCAUUAAAAUGGCCAAGGGGCAAAGGGAGCUUCUGUGGGCAGGCGAACUUUUAAAAAAGAACUCUAUUAUGCAAGCAAAAAAGGGAUACAAUCAAAAACUAAUAUGAAGAACAUGAGCCAUAAAAAUCCAAACUUCUGGAGCCAGGAUAUUUGAAGCUUGAAGGCAAUGACUUCAGUUCAAAUGAAAAUCCAGCAAAUCCUUGUUACCAAGGGAGGGUCUUUCAGGAAACUCAAGCUUCCAGGUAGUCAAUGAAUUCUUCCUUAAGAUACUUCAGUUUUCACAGUUGGUUUUGACUCUUGAUGUAGAAAGCUCUUCUAGAACUCUCUGAAAUAUAUUUUACCAUGGUUGCUACUUUAGCGCAGUAUGUUAUAUAUGCUUGUGAUUC
Long non-coding RNA from Peromyscus eremicus (cactus mouse), 1281 nucleotides. RefSeq lists it as uncharacterized. The record is from RefSeq and is a predicted model, not a curated record. Lineage: Eukaryota; Metazoa; Chordata; Mammalia; Rodentia; Cricetidae. The transcript has 4 exons.